UUUCCGUAGGUGAACCUGCGGAAGGAUCAUUGUAGGAUUGUUUUGGGAGGGGUGGUUGUGAUUUGUGGGGAUUGUGUGUGGUUGUUUGGAUUGCCUGGAUUGCCUGGCUGUCUGCAACUCGACUCGUCUCAUCACAACCACUUUACAUUGGCACAGACCAGUGGUCUGAUGUUUGGAGCAACAGACCAGUGGUGUCUGAUGUUUGCGCUUGCUCGUUUGACAGAAACAGUACCAUAUCAUUGCAAAACUUUUAACAAUGGAUCUCUUGGCUCUU
Molecule: unclassified non-coding RNA, 274 nt
Filed under: plant metagenome
Description: partial contains small subunit ribosomal RNA, internal transcribed spacer 1, and 5.8S ribosomal RNA
Source: RNAcentral